GACGUAGGGUGCGAGCGUUGUCCGGAUUUAUUGGGCGUAAAGAGCUCGUAGGCGGCUCGUCGCGUCGACCGUGAAAACCCGCGGCUUAACUGCGGGCUUGCGGUUGAUACGGGCGGGCUAGAGUUCGGUAGGGGAGACUGGAAUUCCUGGUGUAGCGGUGAAAUGCGCAGAUAUCAGGAGGAACACCGGUGGCGAAGGCGGCGCUCUGGACCGAGACUGACGCUGAGGCGCGAAAGCGUGGGGAGCAAACAGG
RNAcentral lists this ribosomal RNA (253 nucleotides) under uncultured bacterium. Its description in RNAcentral is "partial 16S ribosomal RNA". It matches the Rfam family "Bacterial small subunit ribosomal RNA", at positions 524 to 776 of the family's 1533-position model. The record is from RNAcentral.